AUACGUAGGGGGCGAGCGUUGUCCGGAAUGAUUGGGCGUAAAGUGCGCGUAGGCGGCCCGGUAAGUCUGGAGUGAAAGUCCUGUUUUUAAGAUGGGAAUUGCUUUGGAUACUGUCGGGCUUGAGUGCAGGAGAGGUAAGUGGAAUUCCCAGUGUAGCGGUGAAAUGCGUAGAGAUUGGGAGGAACACCAGUGGCGAAGGCGACUUACUGGACUGUAACUGACGCUGAGGCGCGAAAGUGUGGGGAGCAAACAGGAUUAGAUACCCUGGUAGUCCACACUGUAAACGAUGAAUGCUAGGUGUAGGGGGUAUCGACCCCUUCUGUGCCGCAGUCAACACAAUAAGCAUUCCGCCUGGGGAGUACGGCCGCAAGGUUGAAACUCAAAUGAAUUGACGGGG
Molecule: ribosomal RNA, 397 nt
Filed under: uncultured bacterium
Lineage: Bacteria
Description: partial 16S ribosomal RNA
Rfam family: Bacterial small subunit ribosomal RNA
Source: RNAcentral